RNAcentral lists this ribosomal RNA (1504 nucleotides) under Pseudomonas sp. AAC. RNAcentral describes it as "bacterial LSU rRNA". It matches the Rfam family "Bacterial large subunit ribosomal RNA", at positions 1463 to 2925 of the family's 2925-position model. Lineage: Bacteria; Pseudomonadati; Pseudomonadota; Gammaproteobacteria; Pseudomonadales; Pseudomonadaceae. The record is from RNAcentral.
GAUGGAGGGACGGAGAAGGCUAGGCCAGCUUGGCGUUGGUUGUCCAAGUUUAAGGUUGUAGGCCGAACACUUAGGCAAAUCCGGGUGUUCAAGGCCGAGAGCUGAUGACGAGCUUUCUUUUAGAGAGCGAAGUGGUUGAUGCCAUGCUUCCAGGAAAAGCUUCUAAGCUUCAGGUAACUAGGAACCGUACCCGAAACCGACACAGGUGGUCGGGUAGAGAAUACCAAGGCGCUUGAGAGAACUCGGGUGAAGGAACUAGGCAAAAUGGCACCGUAACUUCGGGAGAAGGUGCGCCGGUGAGGGUGAAGUAUUUACUGCGUAAGCCCACGCCGGUCGAAGAUACCAGGCCGCUGCGACUGUUUAUUAAAAACACAGCACUCUGCAAACACGAAAGUGGACGUAUAGGGUGUGACGCCUGCCCGGUGCCGGAAGGUUAAUUGAUGGGGUUAGCGAAAGCGAAGCUCUUGAUCGAAGCCCCGGUAAACGGCGGCCGUAACUAUAACGGUCCUAAGGUAGCGAAAUUCCUUGUCGGGUAAGUUCCGACCUGCACGAAUGGCGUAACGAUGGCGGCGCUGUCUCCACCCGAGACUCAGUGAAAUUGAAAUCGCUGUGAAGAUGCAGUGUAUCCGCGGCUAGACGGAAAGACCCCGUGAACCUUUACUGUAGCUUUGCACUGGACUUUGAGCCUGCUUGUGUAGGAUAGGUGGGAGGCUUUGAAGCGUGGACGCCAGUUCGCGUGGAGCCAACCUUGAAAUACCACCCUGGCAUGCUUGAGGUUCUAACUCUGAUCCGUUAUCCGGAUCGAGGACAGUGUAUGGUGGGCAGUUUGACUGGGGCGGUCUCCUCCUAAAGAGUAACGGAGGAGUACGAAGGUGCGCUCAGACCGGUCGGAAAUCGGUCGCAGAGUAUAAAGGCAAAAGCGCGCUUGACUGCGAGACAGACACGUCGAGCAGGUACGAAAGUAGGUCUUAGUGAUCCGGUGGUUCUGUAUGGAAGGGCCAUCGCUCAACGGAUAAAAGGUACUCCGGGGAUAACAGGCUGAUACCGCCCAAGAGUUCAUAUCGACGGCGGUGUUUGGCACCUCGAUGUCGGCUCAUCACAUCCUGGGGCUGAAGCCGGUCCCAAGGGUAUGGCUGUUCGCCAUUUAAAGUGGUACGCGAGCUGGGUUUAGAACGUCGUGAGACAGUUCGGUCCCUAUCUGCCGUGGACGUUUGAGAUUUGAGAGGGGCUGCUCCUAGUACGAGAGGACCGGAGUGGACGAACCUCUGGUGUUCCGGUUGUCACGCCAGUGGCACUGCCGGGUAGCUAUGUUCGGAAUAGAUAACCGCUGAAAGCAUCUAAGCGGGAAACUAGCCUCAAGAUGAGAUCUCACUGGGAACUUGAUUCCCCUAAAGGGCCGUCGAAGACUACGACGUUGAUAGGUCGGGUGUGUAAGCGCUGUGAGGCGUUGAGCUAACCGAUACUAAUUGCCCGUGAGGCUUGACCAUAUAACACCCAAACAAUU